UUGCUGUUGCCUGCACUCUAGACUACAGAAAGCACUAUCCCCCCUAUACAUGUAGAUGUCACGACCAGGGACCAAGCGGCGCUUGCAGAGGAAGCAAGCGCUCAAGAAGUGAGCAGUUUCCAAGAAAUCAGCAGAAGACCUUCUAUGGGUUCUGGGUGAGACGGUGGCAGACAAGAACCGUUGAUCUACCUGGCCACCGAAUCCCGCCAUCUGUUUGUGGGCGGUGUGCGGAUCAGACGACGGUGGAACUGAUUCACAGUCUAGAUCAAAGG
RNAcentral lists this unclassified non-coding RNA (272 nucleotides) under Hevea brasiliensis (rubber tree). Lineage: Eukaryota; Viridiplantae; Streptophyta; Magnoliopsida; Malpighiales; Euphorbiaceae. The record is from RNAcentral.